RNAcentral lists this unclassified non-coding RNA (240 nucleotides) under uncultured fungus. Its description in RNAcentral is "sequence contains ITS2". The stretch from base 1 to 52 matches the Rfam family "5.8S ribosomal RNA", at positions 103 to 154 of the family's 154-position model. Lineage: Eukaryota; Fungi. The record is from RNAcentral.
AACGCACAUUGCGCCCGCUAGUACUCUAGCGGGCAUGCCUGUUCGAGCGUCAUUUCAACCCUCAAGCCCUGCUUGGUGUUGGGGCCCUACGGCUGCCGUAGGCCCUGAAAGACAGUGGCGGGCUCGCUAUAACUCCGAGCGUAGUAACACAUCUCGCUCAGGGCGUUUUAGUGGGGUCCGGCCUUUUAAAAUACCUCAAUGGUUGACCUCGGAUCAGGUAGGAAUACCCGCUGAACUUAA